Lolium rigidum is the source of this 198-nucleotide long non-coding RNA. RefSeq lists it as uncharacterized. The record is from RefSeq and is a predicted model, not a curated record. Lineage: Eukaryota; Viridiplantae; Streptophyta; Magnoliopsida; Poales; Poaceae. The transcript is spliced from 3 exons.
UCCCGCACCUCCGAAAUAGAGAAGAGGGCGCUGCGGAGGCCUCGACGGCGGCGCGUGCGUAGGCUGCUUCUGUGCUUCCUCAAGAAGAGUUACAGUACUUGGGAGUUUGUGCGCCUGGACCUGACACACCAGAAACUCUUGUUCGUAUAUGCAAGCUGGUCCAUGCUGUUUAUGUACUGUUGAGAUAGUUUGGAAAGG